This 402-nucleotide ribosomal RNA is filed under the name uncultured bacterium. RNAcentral describes it as "bacterial SSU rRNA". It matches the Rfam family "Bacterial small subunit ribosomal RNA", at positions 355 to 773 of the family's 1533-position model. The record is from RNAcentral.
UAGGGAAUCUUGCGCAAUGGGCGAAAGCCUGACGCAGCAACGCCGCGUGGGGGAUGAAGGCUCUCGGGUUGUAAACCCCUUUCAGCAAGGACGAAAUUGACGGUACCUGCAGAAGAAGCCCCGGCCAACUACGUGCCAGCAGCCGCGGUAAUACGUAGGGGGCGAGCGUUGUCCGGAUUCAUUGGGCGUAAAGAGCUCGUAGGCGGCUUGGCAAGUCGGAUGUGAAAACUCCAGGCUCAACCUGGAGCCGCCAUUCGAUACUGCUAUGGCUAGAGUCCGGUAGGGGAGUGUGGAAUUCCCGGCGUAGCGGUGAAAUGCGCAGAUAUCGGGAGGAACACCGAUGGCGAAGGCAGCACUCUGGGCCGGCACUGACGCUGAGGAGCGAAAGCGUGGGGAGCGAAC